RNAcentral lists this ribosomal RNA (504 nucleotides) under uncultured bacterium. RNAcentral describes it as "partial 16S ribosomal RNA". It matches the Rfam family "Bacterial small subunit ribosomal RNA", at positions 29 to 523 of the family's 1533-position model. The record is from RNAcentral.
AUUGAACGCUGGCGGCAGGCCUAACACAUGCAAGUCGAACGGUAGCACAGAGAGCUUGCUCUCGGGUGACGAGUGGCGGACGGGUGAGUAACGUCUGGGAAACUGCCCGAUGGAGGGGGAUAACUACUGGAAACGGUAGCUAAUACCGCAUAACGUCGCAAGACCAAAGUGGGGGACCUUCGGGCCUCACACCAUCGGAUGUGCCCAGAGGGGAUUAGCUAGUAGGUGGGGUAAUGGCUCACCUAGGCGACGAUCCCUAGCUGGCCUGAGAGGAUGACCAGCAACACUGGAACUGAAACACGGUCCAGAAUCCUACGGGAGGCAGCAGUGGGGAAUAUUGCACAAUGGGCGCAAGCCUGAUGCAGCCAUGCCGCGUAUAUGAAGAAGGCCUUCGGGUUGUAAAGUACUUUCAGCGGGGAGGAAGGCGGUGAAGUUAAUAGCUUCACCGAUUGACGUUACCCGCAGAAGAAGCACCGGCUAACUCCGUGCCAGCCGCCGCCGUAA